CAGAGUGGCAUUAGAGGUGACGCAAAGGGGCAAGUGGCCUUGUUGUCCCGGACCAACGCCAACGUGUUUGAUGAGGCUGUACGGGUGACGGAAGGGGAAGUCCCUUCAAGGAUACAUUUGAUUGGGGGGAUUAAAUCAUUUGGAUUGGACAGAAUCAUUGAUAUUUGGAUCCUUCUUCAGCCAGAGGAAGAACGGAGGAAACAAAACCUCGUCAUUAAAGACAAAUUUAUCAGAAGAUGGGUGCACAAAGAAGGCUUUAGUGGCUUCAAGAGGUAUGUGACCGCUGCUGAGGACAAGGAGCUUGAAGCCAAGAUCGCAGUUGUUGAAAAGUAUAACAUCAGGAUUCCAGAGCUGGUGCAAAGGAUAGAAAAAUGCCAUAUAGAAGAUUUGGACUUUGCAGAGAUGGAGUCUCACCAUGUUGGCCAGGCUGGUCUCGAACUCCCAACCUCAGAGUACAUUCUGGGCACUGUGCACAAAGCCAAAGGCCUGGAGUUUGACACUGUGCAUGUUUUGGAUGAUUUUGUGAAAGUGCCUUGUGCCCGGCAUAACCUGCCCCAGCUUCCCCACUUCAGAGUUGAGUCAUUUUCUGAGGAUGAAUGGAAUUUACUGUAUGUUGCAGUAACUCGAGCCAAGAAGCGUCUCAUCAUGACCAAAUCAUUGGAAAACAUUUUGACUUUGGCUGGGGAGUACUUCUUGCAAGCAGAGCUGACAAGCAAUGUCUUAAAAACAGGCGUGGUGCGCUGCUGCGUGGGACAGUGCAACAAUGCCAUCCCUGUUGACACCGUCCUCACCAUGAAGAAGCUGCCCAUCACCUAUAGCAACAGGAAGGAAAACA
RNAcentral lists this small RNA (835 nucleotides) under Pongo abelii (Sumatran orangutan). Its description in RNAcentral is "processed transcript". The record is from RNAcentral. Lineage: Eukaryota; Metazoa; Chordata; Mammalia; Primates; Hominidae.